AGAGUUCUCAGGUGACGCAACCCGGAAUCAGGCUCCCUCCUCUCUGGUUCCGGGUGCAUCACUCAGAACCGCA
Non-coding RNA from Myotis davidii, 73 nucleotides. NCBI's taxonomy places the organism in Eukaryota, Metazoa, Chordata, Mammalia, Chiroptera, Vespertilionidae. The record is from Rfam.